ACACAAUGUGUGCAACGCCCUUUUACAAUCUUAUUACCCUCUAGUGGGAACAUAGUUAAACACGUAGCAAAUGAUACUAAUCUCGAACGAAGCUUAUCACUUCCGAUCCAAUUCUACAUUUAGUUUGGAAAUGUGGAAUCGUAACUUCAGGAAGUGAGCAGCAGAGAUCCAACUCCUGACUCAGAUGUUUGACUGGCAGAAGGUAAAGUGGACUUCCUGAGUAUUUCCUCUUGUACUGGUGAAACUAAUAUGGUGAGGUAAUUCAUGACUUUCUUCAAACAUCAAGUCUUCACGCUUGACUUGAAGGCAAAGUCAUAGAAAGAAAGAUUUCAUGGUUGUCUGUCGCAAAGACCCACUGGACCUGGAUACUGAAUCGGGAACAACGGCUACUCAGAUAGGUGAAGUUAACCCCAAUGAAGCAGAAAAGACAGUGGGGACUUCCCUACCGAUGGUGUCUCGAGCCAUCCUGAUUAGUCGGCCAAAUUCUCACCCAUUUCAAGAAAGGCAUCUUAUUUUAGAUCAACCUGUGAAAGUGGGCCGAUCUGUUGCAAGAUGUCGACCUGCUCCAAAUAAUGCAAUAUUUGAUUGUAAAGUCUUAUCUAGAAACCAUGCUCUCUUGUGGUAUGAAAAUGGCAAGUUCUUUCUACAGGACACCAAGAGUAGCAAUGGAACAUUUGUCAACAACCAACGUCUCAGCAAGGGAUCUGAAGAGUCGCCAGCAAGAGAGGUCAGCUCAGGGGAUAUUGUCCAGUUUGGUGUCGAUGUUGUGGAAAACACUAGAAAAGUGACCCAUGGAUGUAUUGUAGCAACCCUAAAACUAUUCUUACCAGAUGGGAAGGAAGCAAAAGCAAGCCCAACCACUGCUGUGGUUUCAACCUCACCUGGUACUACCAUCUCCACACAGGACCUCUACCAGCUAUCCCAGUACCUUCAGGAAGCUCUUCAUCGAGAGCAAAUCCUAGAAACUAAGCUGGCCACACUACAGAGAGUAGUGUCUAACUCUCAAGAAGCAUCAGACAGUGGUUGGAAAGUUUUGAUUGAUGAAGAUCGACUACUAAGUCGAAUAGAAACACUAGAAAGUCAAUUACAGGAUGCUUCCAAAAAUACUUGUGAAGAUAAGCUAAGGGAAGAACUAACGAAACUUCAGGAAGAAAAAGAUAAAUACCAGAACACUGCCAAGGAAUCUCUAAGAAAAGUUCUUCAGGAAAAGCUAGAAGCAGUACGAAGGGCUCAAGAUCUUGAGAGUUCUUUGACUGCAGCAGAAGUAGAAUGUAACCAUCUUCAUGAUGUCUAUGAAAACACACAGAGAGAACUCCAGCUUUUGGCUUCAAAAAAUGAUGAACACUUGAAAGAAAUAAAGGAACUCACAAAGAAACUGAAGGAGGCAGAAGAUAAGGAAGAGGAAAUGUCAAAUAAAAUUAAGGAGGAAAAACAAGAACUGGAAAACCAGCUGGAGGAAAUGAAGAAACAAGAGACAGUAUUAGCAGCACAGAUAGAGAGCUUACAAGCAGAUAAUGAUUUUGCUAAGGAGCAGUUAAUGGCUAUGAAAGCUCGAUUCGAAAAACUUAAAACUGAACAAAACGAAGAUGGAAUAUUUGAUAUAGUUGAAACAAAUGGAGUUGUGAUGCAACCACAAGGAAUCCAAGUGGAUAUCAUCAGUGAGAAGUUUAUAACUACAGAUGCAUCUGUCAAUGGUUCUUUGAGUAUAUCUGAAGAAGUGGAAAAGUUAAAAUGCCAGCUAGAGAAUUCAGAAAAAGACUUGGUAGAGAGCAGGAACAGGAUCCAAGAACUGACAAUGAAAUUGGACAAAGUUGAACAUGAAAAACAAAAGAGCCAAUUGACAAUUGAGAAGUUGAAAGGGGAAAUUGAUGUAUUGAAGGGAAAGCUGGAAGAUUUAAGUGAUCAAGAGACAAACGAUGCAUCACUGACAAUCAUUUACCGUAAUGGAGAUGAAGAAAAGGAGAGUGACACCUCAUCAUCAUGGAUAACUUCACAAGAAAAAUGUAACAAACUAAGGCUGGAGAUAGAAGAACUACAAGCACAGCACUUACAGAAUAUUGUCACCCAGCAUCAGCUGACCUGCACUGUAACCUUGUUAAGAGAACUUCUAAAAGAAGCCAGAGAAGAAAAAACGAAAGCAGAAGGAGAGGCUACUCAGCUACAAGAAGAGCUUGGAUAUAAAUCAAACUCUUCAGACCAAACACAACCAGAAUUGUCUGACCUUCACAAACUGAUGGAAAAGGCUCAGCAAGAGGCUAAAGACAGAGGUAACGAGGUGUUACAUCUUCAGACGGAAUUGACAAAAACAGGAGAAUCUCUGCAAGAUGCAAAACAACAAGUCACUGCCAUCAGAGAAAAAGUUUCAGAGUUGGAACAAGUUUCAAGAAGAAAACAGGAGGAAGUCAGCAGCUUAAAGAUCCUCCUGGAAGAAGAGAAAAAAGUUCAACAGAAACUAACUGCUGCUAUAGAACAAACGAAAAAACAACUCCAGGAGGUACAACAGAAUGCCAAACAAAGUCAGAAUGAAGCAGAACAUCUGAAAAGUAAAAAAAGUCAAGAGUCUUUCAGAGGAACUGAGAAAUAAAGCAAAUGUAGAGAAGUCUACAGUGGAAGAUAACAAAAAUACUGCAGAGUACAGUGCUGUCAGAGAGGAGUGUGCCAGCUUAAGGGCUAGGCUUCAGUCCUUAGAAGCAGAAAUUAAGAAAUACAGAAACGAUAAGGUAAAGUUGUCAUCUGACUACAAGAAGCUUCAGGAUUCAUAUGAUGAGUUAGAAACUUU
Molecule: unclassified non-coding RNA, 2779 nt
Filed under: Limulus polyphemus (Atlantic horseshoe crab)
Lineage: Eukaryota; Metazoa; Arthropoda; Merostomata; Xiphosura; Limulidae
Description: sarcolemmal membrane-associated protein-like, transcript variant X2
Source: RNAcentral